This 248-nucleotide ribosomal RNA is filed under the name Bradyrhizobium sp. RNAcentral's name for it is "partial 23S ribosomal RNA". It matches the Rfam family "Bacterial large subunit ribosomal RNA", at positions 1 to 207 of the family's 2925-position model. The record is from RNAcentral. Lineage: Bacteria; Pseudomonadati; Pseudomonadota; Alphaproteobacteria; Hyphomicrobiales; Nitrobacteraceae. RNAcentral also lists the same sequence under 1 other name.
AAUCAAGUGCCUUAAGGGUGUUCGGUGGAUGCCUUGGCGCUGAGAGGCGAUGAAGGACGUGCUACGCUGCGAUAAGCCGUGGGGAGCUGCGAAGAAGCUUUGAUCCGCGGAUUUCCGAAUGGGGAAACCCACCUUCGAUAGCCGGAACUCCAAGACCUUGUGUGUUGGGGUUCGACCAGAAAUGCGAGAAAUCAAACCGCGAGGUUUUGGAUUUCCGGUUAUCAAGAGAAGGUAUGAGACCUCUGAAU